UCUUUCCUAUAGAUUGCAGCUCCCUUCGCUCUCUCUCUCUGUAAGUCUCCUGCCUUCUACCCUAAUGGUUGCGCGAUCUCCAGAUAUAUUGUGGUAGGAAAACGUGCAUGAGUUUUCUUCUGUGUCAUCAGUAAACGAGGAGGUCAUUUUCACUUUUAUAUAUUUACUGUCAUUACCAUAUGCAUUUAUGUUCACAUUUAUAUAUAUUAUAGUCAUUGCCAUAUGCAUUUACUAGAAAAACUGUAUUAACUUAUUUUUUUAGGAAUUGUUUUAAUAUUUUAGUCUUUUUUCUAAUUUGAAAUAAUGUUUUUUAUAUCUUAGUAUUGACAUAUCUGUUGGAAAAAAUCAACACCAGAGCAGUGUUGGGUCUUUUCUCUGUUCCUAUUGGGAUGAAAGAAUCUAAUGAAGCUCAUGAACUGUUAGCAGUAGUUAAUAGGGAUUAACUUUGCAAUCGCAAGGUUCAAAUUUUAUUGUCGGUGGGUCAGUAGGUUGAUAGGGAUUAAUUUUAAAAAUCAUCUUUGGACUUAGUUUUCUACUGGAAACGCGUUUUCCACAGGGCAAGUUUGGCACUCAAGUUUUUACCACCAGCCACUGCCCCUCUUCUACAAUAAUCUGAAAUGUUCACUGGCUCACUCGUAGAAAUCUUUGAUGCUGUACGAAGACUACAGGAUACUUUGUGCUAUACAAAUUAUUUAAUUUUACUGUAUUCUUCUACAUUGACGGUGGCGCGUGGGAAAGACGCGCCGCCACUAUUCACUUGUUCAGAGACCUUCGUCAGCACUGCAUGCAGUUUCAAAAAGCUUCCCCAGCACUAUUAUGGAUUUUUGGGGGGUUUAUUUUGUAAUUUUUGAAUUGUUUAAUAUUUUUGAAUUGUUUAAUGUAUUGUUUUGAUUUAUUUUUAAUUUUGGUGAUUUGUAAGAUGUUAAUAGUGUGUUUGAAAAGAAAAGAAAAGAAAUAUAAUGAAAGUGUAUGUGUGUGUUUUAUUUUAAUUUUUAUAUAUUUUUUAUGAUAAAAUUGCAAAGAUUAAAGAAGAAUUUAAUAUUUUGAUUAGAUCACGGUCAAGAAUUAUUAACUUAUACGUAAGUUAUAUUUUUGAUAUCCGAUGAAAAGACAAUUAUUAAAACUUCUUUAACACAUCAAAAGCCAUGAAGCAGCUUACGUCAGGUAGGGUGCGUUAGGGGUGCUAAUACCUUCUCUAACCACAAUCAGUCCCUUACCCGUGAAUCUCUGACAAGACCAGCACGUUCGGUUUCCUAGUAGCCUUCAAUAAAUUACUAGGUGGCGACUCCCAACGAACCAAUCAAAGCAACGCAUUAACGAGAAAAAUCACCAGCCGAUACCGCGCGGAUUUUGACGUGCGACAAUUAUUAUAUAAAAACCUUUGAUCAAUGAUGAAGCUAGCUUUCACUAGCUGUUUUUGGUGUGCCUAUAUAUCAACAUAAGUAAGCAAAUAAAAUGUCAAGGACCAUGUGAAGCAUGAUUCACAUGUUUAUAAAUAGUAAGAGAACCUAUAAAAAAUCAAAUACAAAUAAUUGGAAGUCCUUUCAAAUAGAAGUUAAAGUCUAUCAAGAAAGGAUAGAAUUAAAUUCCUUAUCAAAUGAAAUCAAAACAAAUAAAAUCUCACCUGUUAAAACUUUCAAGCUCGUAUAAAAAUAUUAUAUCCCUCCAGAAUAAGUUCAAGAUCAAGAAUAGAAGGUUAUAAUAUUCAGAUAUGACUCUUAAUUAGGGAAUUUAUACACCUAAAACAUAUACAAAGACUUUGAAUAUUAGUUAGAGUUCUUAAUAAUCACAAUACUAGGUGUUGAAGUUAAAUCUUUUAAAUUAUAAAAAAAAUAAAAAUACUUUGUUAUUUUCAGACACCUAAAAUCCCAAUCUAGAACGAAAAUAACGAUACAACAUACAUGCAACACGGCCUCUUAGUUUCUCUUUCUAUGGAAGUUUAUAUUUGGUAAAAUAGUGUAUAAUAUUUUUUAAUUGAAAAUGUAUUAAAAUAAUAUAAUUUUUUAGAUUUUUUUAACAGCAAUAUAUUAAAAUUAUUAAAGAAAAAUUAAAAAAUUAUUAAUUUAAUACUUUUUUGAUAAAAAAUAAUUUUGAAAGCAGGUUUUUUCUAAAAAAAACACUCCCGAAGUUUUUUUUGCCUUAUGUAUCGAAAAACAAAUCUACUGAGUGUGUGAGGGCUAAAAAGAAGAGAGGGUCAGAAGAUAACUUAGUCAAAAUAAUGUCGGCAAAACGUGCAUGUCAUGUAGUCAUUUUCGGUGAUAGGUCAUUUUCACCAUUAUAUUUUUGUAGUCAUUGAAUAUUUAUGUUGAUAUUUAUAUUUAUAUAUUUAUAGUCACUGUCAUAUAUAUGCAGUUAUGUUCAUGACAGCUAGAUAUAUAUAUUUUAAAAAAAUUAUAUAUAUAUCUUCGUAUUGACAUAUAUGUUAUAUUGCCAUAUAUAAAAAAAAAUUGAUUUUUUAUAAGAAAAUUAUUAUUAUUAUUAUUAUUAUUAUUAGAUAAAAAACAUGAAUAAUGUGUGGACACAUUUUUUUAUGAUAAAAAUAUCCUUAAGUUUUAUUAAUCAUUAAUGUAUUGAAAGGAUUUUAUCCAGCGUUUUCAAAAAAAUAAAUUUUUAUUAUUAAAAAAUAAAUUUUUUAUAUAUUUUUGAUCGUUUUGAUGCGUUGAUUUCAAAAAUAAUUUUUUAAAAAAUUAUUUUGAUGCAUUUCGACACGAAAAAACUUUAAAAAACGACUACAAUUACACUCUCAAACAUGUUAUUUAAUCCCCAAUGCUUAUUUAGAUGAGAAAUUAUCAUUUUGAUGUAUUUUAGCACGAAAAACAUUUUAAAAAGAAACGACAAUCACAAUCUCAAACAAGUUAUUUAGACCUCAAUGCUUAUUUAGAUGAGAAAUUAUUGUUCUUUAGUCUCUAAAUAAUCUUAUCUAGGGUUAAUUAUAAAAAGCAAAAUUAUCAACAUACGAAUUAGGAUAUAAAAAAUGAUAAGUAAUUAGAUUGAAUUUAAGUUAGAAAUAAACGUCAACCUUGUAAUAAUAAUUUUAGGUAUUUUCAGUGUUUUUUUCAUCUCCAGCUCGAGUUUUCUUUUGCGAUCUGUUGUUUUCACAUUAUUGUCAUAUGCUUCAAUAAUCUUCGCCAGCUCAGAGAUAUAUUGGAAAACGAAUUUAACCUAUUAUUAUUAUUAUUAUUAUAUAAGAAACCUUCGAGGGAUUUUUUUUUCAAUGAUGAAGCUAGUUUUCACUAGCUGUUUUUGGUGUGUUAUAUAUCAAGAUAAGUAAGCAAAUAAAAUGUCAAGGACCAUGUGAAGAUCAACUCAUUAUUUUGAUUUAUAGGUGUAUAUAUAUAUUGAAAGCAAAACCUUUAUGAUCUCAAGUAAGCAAAUAAAAUUAAUUGGAAAUCAAAAACUUUAUGUUUGUAUGUAAUAAAAUAAAAUAAGAAUUAUAUGUAUUAAUAAAUAUUAAAUAAAUUGUUAACACUAACUAAAAAUUGAGUUGAGAAGUUAAGUUAUAUAUAUAUAUUGUAAAACUGGGUAUGGUUUAAAGUGUUUUUCAUUUAAAAAUACAUCAAAAUAAUUUAUUUAUUUAUUUUAAAACAUUACUUUUAAUAUCAGCACAUUAAAAUAAUCUGAAAACACUAAAAAUUUAAAACUUAAAAAAACACGGUUUAAACCGCAUUCCAAACAGGUCCUAAGUAUCUUGUCUACCCAAAAACAUAUGAAAAUGGCUAUAAAUAUAUAAAUGUGAACUUAAAAAUGAUUUCUAAGAGGUCAAGUAUAUUUAUACAUAAUAAUCCCUGUAAACUUAUUAAAUCUUCAUUUUAGCCCUUUAAUGUUGAAUCAUGGAUCCAUCUUUUUUUCUAUCAGCAGAUAGUCUUUAUAUAUAUAAAAAAAAACCACCGAUCAACCCACUGAGCAUGUGAAGUUACAAAUUUCAAAUGCAUGAAGGAAGACCCCAUAAUGAAAACGAUGUUUGUUUAUCUUAUAAAUAUAUUUGGAUGCAGCCUUAGCUGGUUCACACUCACCUGCAGACAAAAUUUCCAAGCGUCCUUUGAAGUUGAUGGAAAAAUUGAAUCAAUUGAUAGUGAGAGGGAAAGAUUGUGCAUUUCUUCGUUGUCGUUUAUUCCUUUACAAGACAGAUGCAUUAUUAAAAAAUUGCUUUGAAUCAUUUCCAUCAAUUGUCAAGUAUUUCAUAACAGUAAUUCGAUUCACUUGAAAAACUGGUUUUUCCUAUUCAAUUGCUUAAGCUCUAUUAAAAAACCGGACCGGAUCAUAUAUAAUAAUAUAUAUAUAUAUACUUUUUUUAUUUAGUUCUCCGACUCCGGAUGAGUUUGGGCGUCCGGCGCCUCUUUUGAGGACGGGAGGAAAAAAAACAUAUAUAUCUACACCUUGCACCCUUUUAGGAAAAGAUAAAUCUUUAAGGAAAUAAAUUUUUUUUAUAACAUGUUUAUUAUUUUUUAUUAAAACAAUGUAUAUUGAAGAUCAAAACAUAAUAUUUUUUAUAUAAAAUAACUUAAUAAUUUCAAGUUUAAUCUCUAAUUUAAUAACAAGUUCAGUGAUAUUAACUUUAAAAUUUAAAAUAUUACAUUUAUAGAAAAAUGCAUGCUAAACAUUUGAAAUAUAACCUAUUUAUAUUUAGUUUGAUCCAUGUGGGACCAUUAAGCCAUAUGAAGAGAGGGGUUUAGCCUAAUUUCUUAGGAGUUUUUAAUAUUUAAUUUGUUUUACAUGGAGAACAAAUAUAGAAAAAAAAAUAUUAGCUUCCCAAAAAUAGUAUUUGAUGAUCUAUCUAGUUUUGAUCAAAUGCUACUACAUGUGCUGUAUAGAUAUAAUUAUGGAUUAAUUGAGCUGAGAAUUUAUAGAUACAAUUGUGACAUAACAAGGAUCUAUAAUCUAAAAUAGUAAAGAUUAAAUUUAGAACAACCUAACUAGUGUUCUGUGCGCUAUUAAAACAUCAGGUUUUUUGAGUAUUCUGAAUUAGUUUGUGAUUUCUCCUAACAAAAAUGGAACUCUUUUAGUAGAUAACUAGAACACGUUCCUAUAUGAUAAACUUGAAUAUUAUAUGCUUGGAAAACUGCACAUAAUUAUAAAAUGUUUUUAAUAAAGCAUUUGAUGACUUUGAGAUGCCAAGAUGAAACUUAAUCAACAAAUCACUUAAACACGUUACAACUAGUUUUUUUUUUAAAAAAAAAAAAAAAAAAUAGUUGUUCCUUGUUUGGGUACAAUCUGAUUUUUUUUUUAAAAAUUUCUUUUGUAAUACUGUUGGUCAUUUUUAUUAGAUAUGUAGCUAGUUCUCCUAAAUAAAUUAGUAUGGGUAAUUAAAGUGACUGCAAAGGGUAUUGAUACCGAUAAUCACUUGUUCACCACCGCUAAUCAAGUCUUGCUCUCUAGCUAUCUUAAUACCCAUAUAAAUCUAAAGUCGAAGCUCUGAUCAUUUCACAGCAGGUUCAAUGAAAUUAACAACAAAAUUUAUUACAAAUGUUUAUAUAUGCUGGAUAACUAAAACAUAAUUAAGCAAACCAACUUUUUAAAAAAUAAAAAUAAAUGGAACCACCUAUUGUCUGCAGAGCUUAAACCAAAUCCAAAACUAAACAUUUCAAAGAGCAGAACAAGUUAGUGCUGACCUGAGGACGGAGAUCAGAGGACCGUGUCUGUAAAUAGAGUCCCUAGCCGCGAGCCUCUUCCUAUAUAUAUAUUGCAGCACCUCUCUCUCUCUCCCUCCCCCCCCUCUCUCUAAGUCUCUUGCCUUGUCUCUCUCCCUCUCUCUCUAUCUCUCUAAGUCUCUUGCCUUGUCUCUCUCCCUCUCUCUCUAUCUCUCUAAGUCUCUUGCCUUGUCUCUCUCCCUCUCUCUCUAUCUCUCUAAGUCUCUUGCCUUGUCUACCCAGAUGCACAAGACAAUGGCUAUAAUUAAGGGACUUAAUUAUAUAUGCUCUCUAGAUUCAAGCCUGGCAAGGGCGGAUCUAGGAAAGUCCCUUAACUUUAAAAUUAUUUCUAAAAGAUGAAGUAUAUUUGUACAUAAUAAUCCCUGUAGAAUAUUAAAUCUUCAUUUUAGCCCUUUAAUGUUGAAUCCUG
Molecule: long non-coding RNA, 6057 nt
Filed under: Populus tremula
Lineage: Eukaryota; Viridiplantae; Streptophyta; Magnoliopsida; Malpighiales; Salicaceae
Description: long non-coding RNA (PTRE_LNC001446)
Source: RNAcentral